RNAcentral lists this unclassified non-coding RNA (213 nucleotides) under Pyrenochaetopsis leptospora. RNAcentral describes it as "partial internal transcribed spacer region". The stretch from base 1 to 46 matches the Rfam family "Eukaryotic small subunit ribosomal RNA", at positions 1786 to 1831 of the family's 1831-position model. The record is from RNAcentral. Lineage: Eukaryota; Fungi; Ascomycota; Dothideomycetes; Pleosporales; Pyrenochaetopsidaceae.
AAGUCGUAACAAGGUUUCCGUAGGUGAACCUGCGGAAGGAUCAUUAUCAAAACAGCGGACUUCGGUCCCUGCUGCACCCUUGUCUUUUGCGUACCGUAUGUUUCCUCGGCGGGCUUGCCUGCCGGUUGGACAAUAUCAAACCUUUUUGUAGUUGCAAUCAGCGUCAGAAAAUAAUAAUAAUUACAACUUUCAACAACGGAUCUCUUGGUUCUG